RNAcentral lists this ribosomal RNA (450 nucleotides) under uncultured bacterium. RNAcentral's name for it is "bacterial SSU rRNA". It matches the Rfam family "Bacterial small subunit ribosomal RNA", at positions 354 to 796 of the family's 1533-position model. The record is from RNAcentral.
GUGGGGAAUAUUGGACAAUGGGCGAAAGCCUGAUCCAGCCAUGCCGCGUGUGUGAAGAAGGUCUUCGGAUUGUAAAGCACUUUAAGUUGGGAGGAAGGGCAGUAAGUUAAUACCUUGCUGUUUUGACGUUACCGACAGAAUAAGCACCGGCUAACUUCGUGCCAGCAGCCGCGGUAAUACGAAGGGUGCAAGCGUUAAUCGGACUUACUGGGCGUAAAGCGCGCGUAGGUGGUUUUGUAAGUUGGAGGUGAAAUCCCCGGGCUCAACCUGGGAACUGCCUCCAAAACUACUGAGCUAGAGUACGGUAGAGGGUAGUGGAAUUUCCUGUGUAGCGGUGAAAUGCGUAGAUAUAGGAAGGAACACCAGUGGCGAAGGCGACUACCUGGACUGAUACUGACACUGAGGUGCGAAAGCGUGGGGAGCAAACAGGAUUAGAAACCCCUGUAGUCC